Molecule: non-coding RNA, 98 nt
Organism: Acanthosepion pharaonis
Lineage: Eukaryota; Metazoa; Mollusca; Cephalopoda; Sepiida; Sepiidae
Source: the annotation of a GenBank genome assembly
CACAUUGAAACACCGGUUCCCGUACGAUCACCGAAUUUAAGCAAUGUCAUGCCUAAUAAGUACCUAGAUGGGUAACGCCUUUGGAUUACCAGUUGCUG